Molecule: ribosomal RNA, 427 nt
Filed under: uncultured bacterium
Lineage: Bacteria
Description: bacterial SSU rRNA
Rfam family: Bacterial small subunit ribosomal RNA
Source: RNAcentral
UGGGGAAUAUUGGACAAUGGGCGCAAGCCUGAUCCAGCCAUGCCGCGUGGGUGAAGAAGGCCUUCGGGUUGUAAAGCCCUUUUGUUGGGGAAGAAAUCGUGCAGGUGAAUAUCCUGCGCGGAUGACGGUACCCUAUGAAUAAGCACCGGCUAACUCCGUGCCAGCAGCCGCGGUAAUACGGAGGGUGCAGGCGUUAUCCGGAUUUACUGGGUUUAAAGGGUGCGUAGGCGGGCAUGUAAGUCAGUGGUGAAAUACCGGAGCUUAACUUCGGAACUGCCAUUGAUACUAUAUGUCUUGAAUAUUGUGGAGGUAAGCGGAAUAUGUCAUGUAGCGGUGAAAUGCAUAGAUAUGACAUAGAACACCGAUUGCGGAGGCAGCUUGCUACGCAAAUAUUGACGCUGAGGCACGAAAGCGUGGGGAUCAAACA